Molecule: long non-coding RNA, 3269 nt
Filed under: Homo sapiens (human)
Lineage: Eukaryota; Metazoa; Chordata; Mammalia; Primates; Hominidae
Description: HSALNT0284276
Source: RNAcentral
AGAGAGAGAGAGAGAGACUCCAUUUGUCUUGGAGAAAAGGAAAGAGAACAAUAGUCUAUUAAUCCAGAGAAUUCUGAAUCUUGGCCAAGAUCAUCAAGGAUCAAGGCAGUACUUAUAUGAGUCUGCAAGAGCCACAGCAUUAUUGGUCCUGGUGUGGCCCCUAAAUCAGAUACAGCUUAGAUCUGUACAACACCCAAGUCCUUUCAAAUAUCUGGAAAGCCUUCCCAAGAAGAACAAAUAUAAACAGUACAAGACUUAAGACUAUAACAAAUGUUAAUUCUUCAUGCCCAAACACAGAUAAACAUCUACAAGUAUAAAGACAUUACAAAAAAACAUGACCUCACCAAAUGAACUAAGUAAGCCACUAGGGAACAAUCCUGGAUAAAAAGAGAUAUUUGACCUUUCAGACAGAGUAUUCAAAAUAGCUGUGUUGAGGAAACUCAAAGAAAUUGAAGAUAACACAGGGGAAAAAAAUCAAGCAGAAAUCUGCAGCUGAAAAAAAUGCAACUGGCAUAGAGAAGAAUGCACCAAAGUAUUUUAAAAGCAGAAUUAAUCACAGAGAAAAAAGAACUAGUGAGCUUGAAGACAGGCUAUUUGAAAAUACAAAGUGAGAGAAUUCAAAAGUAAAAACAAUGAAGCACACAUACAGGAUCUAGAAAAUAGUCUCAAAAAGGCAAAUCUAAGAGUUAUUGGCCUUGAAGAAGAGGUAGAGAGAUAGGAGUAGAAUGUUUAUUCCAAGGUAUCAUAACAGAAAACGUCUCAAAGCUAGAAAAAGAUAUCAAUAUCCAAGUACAUGAAGGUUAUGGAACCAGAUUUAACCCAAAGAAGACUAUUUCAAGGCAUUUAAUAAUCAAAUUCCCAAAGAAUAAAGAAAGUAUCCUAAAAGGAACAGCAAUAAAAAAGAAACAAGCAUGCAAUGAAACUCUAAUAUGUCCGGCAGCAGACUUUUCAGUGGAAACUUUAAAAAUCAGGAGAGAGUGGCAUGACAUAUUUAAAGUGCUGAAAGAAAAGCACUUUUACCCUAGAAGAGUAUAUCUGUAAAAAAUCGUCUUCAAACAUAAAAGAAAAAUAAAGACUUUUCCAAACAAACAAAAGCUGAGGAAUUUCAUCAACACAAGACCUAUUCUACAAGAAAUGCUAAAGGGAGUUCUUCAAUGUUGGGGUGACCAGAUCCAACACCAGGUCGUGGGGUCAACAAAGUCUGGUGGAGUCAAAGGAUUGAGAAAAGACAGUUUGAGAGAGAGAAGUGGUACCAGGGGGCCAUCGCCAUCAUGGAGGCUGCAAAGGCCCAGCUCAGGGAGCCCACACUAUUUAUUGGUAAUCCAACAAAGAAAGAGGUGGUUGGAGUUCGAAAGGGCAGCUGCAUGAUCUACAGCUGUGAUGGUUUAGCAUUUAUAUGGAACAUGUUCUGCUACUUGAGAAAAUGGGAAUAGGAGCCUAAGAGGGCUAGAAGCAAGGAGCUAGCAAGUCUAGACACAUUCCAGAGGACAUUAUGUCAUUCAUGCAAGCCCCGCCUCAGCUUUCUUCCCAACCCUCAGCUUUUUUCCCAACAUGCCCCCCUUCUCUUUUUUGUAAAAGAGAAGGUAUCAUUAUUAUUAUCAUUAUUACUAGCUAUCAUUAUUGCUAGAGUCACUCUGGUUUGAAUGCUUCCAACAUAUCUCCCCUUUCCCUUUUACAAGAGGACCCUUAAUCCUAGAGGUUGCAGAAGGAUGAAGGUCUAUCUUCUGUAACUUCUUCAUGCUGAGUAGGGAUGAUGAUACUCCUGCCUAACUAUUAGGGUCUCUUUUAUACAGCGUAGAGAGGAACUGAGUCAGAAAGCAUUGGUCCAUUAAGCAUCAUGACUCUGGUCGGUCUUCGUUCCAUCUUCGCAUUCAGAUUCAACUGGCUCAUGGCUCAUACUAGGGGAUCCCAGUCCAUGGUUGGGAUCCAUGGGUCCCUCCAGUCUCCCAUUCCAUGGUUGUACACAUCUAGAGGGCAUCCACAUGGUUAGUUCAUCUCCUGCAAAAACACAAGCAUACCCUCACCCCCACAUUAGUAAAUCUACUGAAACAGAAGCAAAAACUUUUGUGGCUGUAGCCGGGAGGCCACUGAUAAUGAGAAACAGUCCCCUUCUAACGAAGGCACAGGGAAGGCAAAUUGAGGCUUUUCAAACCUUCAAUUUGCACUGUACAGGUGGGUCCACUAGAUGCUGUGGCUCAUGAUAGAUCUUCAGAUAUUUGGUGGGCACCCACACAGGCACCUGAUUGUCACCUGGAGAGACACAAGCAAAUCCUCUUCCCCAUAUACUUUUCUUUUUCCCAGCUCUUUGUACGUGCAUCCCUCCAACAUAUAUCUUGUCCAGCCUUUUUAUUUUCCUUUUGCCCUUCACGUGUUAUUCCACCGCAGUUAUGGGUUGAUCUUUUUGUAAAUUUAAGAAAUUUAAUGUUAAUAAAGCUAGAUGCAGUUGCAUAUGCGGUGUUUUAUGUUCCUGGUCUCCUGCCUUCUACUUUUGUAUUUGAGUUUUUAAAGUACGAUUAGCUCUUUCCACUAUUGCCUGUCCUUGUGAAUUAUAUGGAAUACCCAUAGUAUGGGCAAUAUUCCGUUGUUGAAAAAAUGUAGCCAUGGCUUUACUACAGUAUCCUGGGCUGUUACCAGUUUUGAUUUUUUCUGGAAUUCCCAUAACAGAAAAACAAGAUAAAAGACAUCUUUUAACAUGAGCUGUAGCCUCCCCUGUUUGACAUGUGGCCCAGAUAAAAUGUGAAUAGGUAUCUACUGAAACAUGAACAAAGGACAAUUUUCCAAAAGCAGGAAUAUGUGUUACAUCCAUCUGCCAGAUGGGAUUUGGAGAUAAACUUCUAGGGUUAACUCCUGUUCCUUGAUGUGGCAAAUGCAGAACUUGGCAGGCAGAAAAGUGUUGCACAAUUUCUUUAGCUUGUUUCUACGAUAGACCAUAUCUUUUUCUAAGGCCUGCAGCAUUAUGAUGGGUUAAAGAAUGAAAUGUCUGUGCAUCAGCAAAAGUUGCAGACACCAAUGCAUCCACCCUUUAAGUUUAGUUAAAGGGCCAGGGAGGUUAGUAUGUGCUCUCAUAUGAGUGAUAUGAAAAGGUAAGUGCCUUUGUUGUACCACUUGCUGUAAAGAAUGAAAUAAAAAAUUAAGUUGUUCAUCAGUCACAUUUUGAAUUAAGGCACAUUCAAUAUUUUGUGUGACUUGCCCUACAUAGGCUGAAUUGGAAACAAUGUUUACUGGCUGUUUAAAAGUUUUUAACACUGUUAUCACAGCCAUAAGUUCAG